RNAcentral lists this ribosomal RNA (621 nucleotides) under uncultured bacterium. RNAcentral describes it as "bacterial SSU rRNA". It matches the Rfam family "Bacterial small subunit ribosomal RNA", at positions 300 to 942 of the family's 1533-position model. The record is from RNAcentral.
ACAAGCUAGCAUGCAUGCAGGUAGAUGAUUCAUUCGGGAGGCAGCAGUGGGGAAUCUUUCGCAAUGAGUGAAAGCCAGACGGAGCAACGCCGCGUGAGUGAUGAAGGCAUUCGGGUUGUAAAACUCUGUCUUCAGGGAAGAAAAAAAUGACGGUACCUGAGGAGGAAGCCACGGCUAAAUACGUGCCAGCACCCGCGGUAAUAUGUAGGUGGCAAGCGUUGUCCUGAAUUACUGGGGGUAAAGAGCGAGUAGGCGGGGAUCUAAGUCAGGAGUGAAAACUGGUGGCUCACAUUCCAACGUGCUCUUGAAACUGGAUCUCUUGAGGGUACGAGAGGAAAAAGGAAUUUCCACAGUAGCGGUGAAAAGCGUAGAUAUUGGGAGGAACACCACUGGGGAAGGCGGCUUUUUGGCAUACAACUGACGCUGAGGCGCGAAAGCGUGGGGAGCAAACGGGAUUAGAUACCCCGGUAGUCUUAGCCGUAAACGAUGGGCACUAGGGGUAGGGGGUAUUGACCCCUUUUGUGCCGCAGAUAACGCACUAAGUGCCCCGCCUGGGGAGUACGGUCGCAAGAGUAAAACUCAAAGGAAUGACGGAAUCUCUCGAGGAGCCCCGGACCGAGC